GAUGAACGCUGCGGCGUGCCUAAUACAUGCAAGUCGAGCGAACGGACGAGAAGCUUGCUUCUCUGAUGUUAGCGGCGGACGGGUGAGUAACCCGUGGAUAACCUACCUAUAAGACUGGGAUAACUUUGGGAAACCGUAGCUAAUACCGGAAAAUAUUUUGAACCGCCUGGUUCAAAAGUGAAAGACGGUCUUGCUGUCACUUAUAGAUGGAUCCGCGCUGCAUUAGCUAGUUGGUAAGGUAACGGCUUACCAAGGCAACGAUGCAUAGCCGACCUGAGAGGGUGAUCGGCCACACUGGAACUGAGACACGGUCCAGACUCCUACGGGAGGCAGCAGUAGGGAAUCUUCCGCAAUGGGCGAAAGCCUGACGGAGCAACGCCGCGUGAGUGAUGAAGGUCUUCGGAUCGUAAAACUCUGUUAUUAGGGAAGAACAUAUGUGUAAGUAACUGUGCACAUCUUGACGGUACCUAAUCAGAAAGCCACGGCUAACUACGUG
RNAcentral lists this ribosomal RNA (496 nucleotides) under uncultured bacterium. Its description in RNAcentral is "partial 16S ribosomal RNA". It matches the Rfam family "Bacterial small subunit ribosomal RNA", at positions 28 to 507 of the family's 1533-position model. The record is from RNAcentral.